AGGACAGAUUUCUUUUAUGAUUCCUACAGCAGAAAAAUGAGAAACGUUUGUUAUUAUUUUUUUUUCGUGUUUAAGGUUUGAAUCCUCAGUGAACCAGGGCAGAAAAGAAUGAUGAAAUCCUUGAGAGUUUUACUGGUGAUCCUGUGGCUUCAGUUAAGCUGGUUUGGAGCCAACAGAAGGAGGUGGAGCAGGAUCCUGGACCACUCAGUGUUCCAGAGGGAGCCAUUGUUUCUCUCAACUGCACUUACAGCAACAGUGCUUUUCAAUACUUCAUGUGGUACAG
Molecule: long non-coding RNA, 283 nt
Filed under: Homo sapiens (human)
Lineage: Eukaryota; Metazoa; Chordata; Mammalia; Primates; Hominidae
Description: non-protein coding lnc-OR4E2-6:1
Source: RNAcentral